RNAcentral lists this long non-coding RNA (252 nucleotides) under Homo sapiens (human). RNAcentral's name for it is "non-protein coding lnc-ACVRL1-2:1". Lineage: Eukaryota; Metazoa; Chordata; Mammalia; Primates; Hominidae. The record is from RNAcentral.
AUGUAAUAUAAUGUUUUUGAGUUUCAUCUAUAUUAUAGCACGUAUCAAUAGUUUCUUUUCAGGGCUGAAUAAUAUUCCAUCAUAAAUAUACCACAUUUUGUUCAUUCAUCAUUUGAUGGACAUUUGGGUGGUUUCCACCUUUUGGCUAUUGUGAAUAGUACUGUUGAGAAUAUUCAUGUACAAGUCUGUGUUUAAACAUUUGUUUCAGUUAUUUUGUGUAUAUGCCUUGGAGUAGAACUGCUGGGUUAUAGG